GAGGUUUGGAACUUUUGUUGUCUCCAUUUUCCUCUCCAGUAUAAAGAUCUUCAUUAGUACGUAAACCGAUUGUAUACAAUUGUUGUUGCUAUCUGUUCCAAUAACGAAUCAACUGAAUAACUAAAUAAAAUAGAUAGACCUUUCUCUUCGUCUCAGGUCGAUAGAUCUUCUCAAUUGGAAGAUCCCCUAUAUGGAUAAUACACAUUCCAGAGAAAAUAGCGAUUUUAUAGUGGAGUCCACCAAUUUAGGGAGUCUUAUGAAGUUUUACUAAAUUAAGUGACAAAAAAUUAAAACGAUGCCCAUGUACCAUGAAAAUGAGUUUAAUAUACAUUAAUACAAAUGUAGAAUGUGUUUAGAAAUUUAAAAAAUAACCCCAAAGAUCAUUUUUUUUUUGACAGCAAGACAUUCACAGACUCAUGUUGACUCUGUAAACCAAAUCGGUAACUCGGCAUCCAUAUGAACGACGAAAGACGGUUGUUUCCUAGCACUAUGUGCCAAGCUAUCCGCCCUUUGGUUCUCCGUUCGGGGUACAUGGAUGAUGUCUGAGUUGAGGAAACUUCUUCGUAAAAGCUUGAUAUCUUCCAGGUAGCUUUCAAAUGCUGGCCAUUCUUCUGGUUCCGAAACCAUCUUCACCAAUUGAGAACAAUCCCUUGCAAACGUAACCUGAAACUGUCGUAAGUUCUUCAUACAUUCCACUGCCCAAAUCAACGCCUCCACCCCAAAGAUCAUAUGCUUCAUUAUUAGAGCAUUUACCGAAAAAUUCAGUAUUUUCGUAGGGGUUAUCCCAUAGAUUUUGAGAAAAAUUCAAAAAUAUGAAAAAUCUGUUUUAAUGCAUAAUUGCAUCCUUUACUAACAUAUGAUGAAGGUCAAAGAGGUUUGGAACCUUUUUUGUCUCCGUUUUUCUAGAGAAUAGCGAUUUUAUAGUAAUUAGUCCACCAAUUUAGGGAGUAUUAUAAAGUUUUACUAAAUUAAGUGACAAAAAAUUAAAACGAUGCCCAUGUACCAUGAAAAUGAAGUUUAAUAUACAUUAAUACAAAUGUAGAAUGUGUUUGGAAAUUUGAAAACAACCCCAAAGAUCAUAUGCUUCAUUAUUAGAGCAUUUACCGAAAAAUUCAGUAUUUUCGUAGGAGUUAUCCCAUAGAUUUUGAGAAAAAUUCAAAAAUAUGAAAAAUCUGUUUUAAUGCAUAGUUGCAUCCUUAACUAACAUAUGAUGAAGGUGAAAGAGGUAUGGAACCUUUUUUUGUCUUCGUUUUUCUAGAGAUUUUAUAGUGGUUAGUCCACCAAUUUAUUGAGUAUUAUGAAGUUUUACUAAAUUAAGUGACAAAAAUUAAAACGAUGCCCAUGUACCAUGAUAAUGAGUUUAAUAUACAUUAAUACAAAUGUAGAAUGUGUUUAGAAAUUUAAUAAACAACCCCUAAGAUCAUAUGGUUCAUUAUUAGAGCAUUUACCGAAAAAUCAGAAUUUUCGUAGGGGGGGGUUAGCCUAUAGAUUUUGAGAAAAAUUCAAAAAUAUGAAAAUUAUGUUUUAAUGCAUAGUUGCAUCCUUCACUAACAUAUGAUGAAGGUCAAAGAGGUUUGAAACUUUUGU
This is a long non-coding RNA of Brassica rapa (field mustard), 1587 nucleotides long. RefSeq lists it as uncharacterized. The record is from RefSeq and is a predicted model, not a curated record. NCBI's taxonomy places the organism in Eukaryota, Viridiplantae, Streptophyta, Magnoliopsida, Brassicales, Brassicaceae.